Cygnus olor (mute swan) is the source of this 4278-nucleotide long non-coding RNA. RefSeq lists it as uncharacterized. The transcript is spliced from 16 exons. The record is from RefSeq and is a predicted model, not a curated record. NCBI's taxonomy places the organism in Eukaryota, Metazoa, Chordata, Aves, Anseriformes, Anatidae.
AAGCUUCCAGACUUGUAGUGGGGUGAUUCAUCAAGCACAGCAGAAGUUGCACAGGCUAUGCAAAAGUAGGAGUGAAAGUCUUUGACUGUUUCUCAAUGUAAUUCCAUGUCCUGUCUAGCCAUCAUCUUUAAGGUCUUAAUUUGAGAGGGUUAUUAGUAAGAGAUGUGUAAUUGGGUAUCUGAAGGUUACAUAUUUUUAAAAUUAUGUCUGAUGUACUGAUGAGAGAGACUGUCUGAUCCUGAUUGUAACUGAGAGCUACAUCCUUGUUCCUGAUACAAAAUCAGCCUGCUGUGAAUAGAAAUUGAUAGUAACUCUUUGCUUAGAAGAAGGUUAAAAGUGUCUUUGCCGAAAAGUGCACUUACUGAAGAAUGUUUAAUUUACAGUGACUUUCCCUUCCAAAGAUUCAGACAAGUUACCAACCACCUUGGUUUUGUCUAAUCUCAUAGGCUUUAGGUAUGGUUCUGCUUUAAAAAAAUGACUGUAAAAAUGGUAUCAUCAUACCCCAUCUUUUCCACUGCCCUGUUGUUGUGAGUGUGUUCAGUUUACAGCUGCUCUCCCUAAAAACAGGCCAAUUCAUUCAGGACUGUGAGAAUCAUUGUGACUUUGCGAUUUAUGCAACGCGUUCUGUAAGAAAGCCAAAUUUGGACACCCUAAGUGCAAACAUUCAAUUGGACAUAGUUUUACAGAGUUGAAACAAAGAUCUUCCAUACUACUCUGUGGCCUCUUCUAGAUGUGGUUUGCGAGGAACCAUUAGCAUACAUACAUACUAAUACCAAGAAAAAAUCUUUGAAUUCCAGGAAAAAUCUCGGAAAACUGUGAAUCACACUUCUCUCUUAAAGAAAAAUGCCUCUGUCCUAGAGAAGGGUUGUAGCUUCGUGAAGCAUUUCCUUGUUAGUUUAAAGGCUUUCUAAAUGAUGUGCUGCUUUUGUGGAACUCCUUUUUGAGUUGCCUAACUCUGCAAUGCCUUGAAACAGGAGCUGAAUUGCCUUGUUCACAGCUAUAAAUUACCUGAGGUGGUGGAAAGAUUAGAAGAGCUUUAACAGAGGAGGCUGGAAGAGGCUUGGCCUAAGUGACUACUGAAAGGAUACCUGAAAGGUCCUCACCAACGUAAACUGUUAGAAGUGUCUUCCAAAGAGUAGAAAAACAGAUGAAGUAAUAGGUCUGUUGCUCUGGUGCAGCAUGGCUGAACUUCGUACAAGAGGCUCUUCUCUCCUUAUAAGAAGUGACUUGUUCUAAAUAUCCUGUCAACAAGGGAGGAAGCUGGAAUACUUUGUUGUACUGUGGAGGAAUAUGAAAUGAGUUUGUUAUGGAAAGAUCAGAAUCCUUAACCUACUGGAUUUUGACAUGCUGUUUGAAACACAGACUCGCAGUGCUGCCCUUUGGAAAAACUGAACCUUAGCGCUGCUCAUUUGGAAACAUUAAACACAAUUACAAUUUACCGAACUAUAAGGACGUUUUUAUCAAUAUUGAUUGAAACAGUUGUUCUUAGAGAUGUCUUAGAAAAUAUUGGUUACUGUGCAAUUUGCUUUGAUUAGGCUUGGAAGACAAUUUAUGAGACAGCAGAAACCAUGCAGAUUGAAUGUAAGCCUCCAAUCAUGACAAGAAGUGAUAUGCAAGACGUACAUGCCACAUAAUGAGAUGAGGAAGAGCGACCCAAGUUUCUUAAUUGAAGAAACACAUCCAAUUGCUGCUGUGUGCCUUUAACCAAUAGCUUCCUGCUGAAUAAACGCUGAGGGCAUUCCUGACAUUCCCGGAGGAAGGCUGCUGGCGGAGCAAGCUGUCGUGGCUCUGUCCCAUCCCAGUUAUGUGCUGACGGCUGAGCUACACCCGUGCAGACGCCGUCUGGGCUUUCCAGCCAUAUACGGACAACACCCGAAUAUGAACCCAGUGCUCUUCUGCCCCUGGAACGCACUGAGGUCUCACGGGCAGCAGUCAUUCUGGCUACAUUAAAUUACUCAUAAGUGAAGGCCCAGAUGUGUGUUUAUCAUCUUUAUAUAAAACCAGACUUCCUUGAAAAUAAAAAGCUACCAUUUUAUAAAAGCUAUGUAAAACAUCACUGAAAUUUUCAUUAUGGAAGAGGAUUAGAUGGGAAAACAACAAAUUAGAUGUCCACAAAAUGCAAAUACAGAACACAGCCCAACAGAUGACUGCUGUGCUCCAAUACAAUUCUAGUGGUGACUCUUGGGAGAGCAGACAUCUGAAGUGUCUAGCCAAAAGGGAAGCAUAAUAUUCAGCUUUAGAGUGACUGCAGUGGAACCUUAGAAUUGUUUGUUUCUGUUUACAGCAAGAUGCACACAGAAGCUCCUGGCAAACGUGAGGUUUUGUUCAUUGCAUGGAUCUCCAAUGGGCUGCUUGGAGAUAGAAUAUCAUCCUAUUGCAGACAGUCCUUACUAAGGGCCAGAAGUACUUUGAGUUCUGCAGCCUACUUUGCUGGGCUAAGUACCAAGGUUCAACUCAGAGCAAAAUUGCAAAUGAAAAUAAUUUCUUGUACCUGCAAUCAGCAUGACUGGCACAGACAAUUUACCACAGCACAUCUCUUAACUUUCUGCUGAUAGGAGACAAGAAGAAAGACUGACAAACUGUUGAAUUGGAUCUCAGCUCUCCUGCUACAGAAGUCAAACACUACCAGUGGACUGUGCCAGAGAUUAGCACAGUUUUCAGAUGUGGCCUGUCUUUGACCAGUAGUCUUUGACCUCUCAUGAGACAAGAGACAAGGGUGACAGCUAGUUCCAGUAGUGACUAUCCUUUCUGCAACAUGAUCAUCUGAAAUGACAUAGAAACUUGACUGGGAAUAAAGACAGAAAACUUGGCUAAUAGCAACCAGACAUAAUCAUCUUGCUUUUUAAAAGGAAGAAAUAUAUGAAGAAAAGAAAGGAAGGAGAGAAUUUAAAGUACAUGAUCUCCCUCUAUCUUCCAUUUGCUGUGCUGUGAGUUCUGGGCCAGUAUCUUGCCUUAGCAGAUGAGCACAAGAAAAUCAGUCUUCUCAGCCUCUGCCAUAAGAGAUCCGCAAACAGGGACUCUCUGGUGCUUAUCUUGUUUGGAGGAGAUGGAGUAUUUCUUCAAGAGGAAGUACAAGAUGUUUCUCUGAUAUCUUUCAAUCCAGGGCAUAGAAGAACUUAAGAAUGUGUGGGAAAACUGUGAUUACAGAGUUUGUCAGAAAGCUACCUUUUUGCUACAAAGUCCUGCUCCAAAAAGUUUCAAAAUCAGCUAAAAAGUAGUGUCAAGAGGUUAACCAUUUAGGUUGGAAAAGACCCUUAAGAUUAUGAAGUCCUAAAGCUGAAGAUGAGAACAAAUGGCAUAGCUGUGGUGGAACAAAGGGUCCUUCUGCACUUUUGGGUGUAGAGAGACCUGAUUUUGUUUGGCCUGUGCUGACCCCAGAACUGGAAGUCAGAAGACCAGAGUGACAAGACACCUGUUCCUACAGGACAAGAGCCUCCACAAACCAGGCCUUUGAGCCAUGUUGGCCCUGAACUGCAUCUAUUUUAAUAACUCUACCUGACAGCAAAUCUGUGGCAGAGCUAGGAUCAGAAUGUAAUCAUCCUGGCUCAGUCAUGUGCAUAGAUUAUUUCUAAAACUUCCCUCAACAUCCAGGUUCCCAUAGCCGAUAAAAUAUAUAAACUAUGCUCUCUUAUCUUCUUAAUUCUCAGCAGAAUUCUCACUGUAACCUGAAAGACAUUCUUAAGCAAACAAAACAAGUUGACCUCUAAACUGUGCUUUCCAGUAGUAGGAGUUGUCGUUCUAACCCAGGGGCUGGGCAUUCAGUUUUCACAGCUUGCAGCAGACUCUCAAAUGAAAGUAUAAUUUCUUAAUUGCAUUCUGUAACAGCAGGUCCAGAGUAAAUAUAAGGUUACAUUUCAAUGAUCAGAAUUUCAGGAAUAAAAACAAAAUUUGCAUGCAUAGGAAAAGACAAUUUUAAAUGUUGUAUUAUAUUUCCCAGUAUCUCAUUUCUGUUCUGGAGAUCCUCUCUGAACUAAUGGCAGCUGUUAUAUACAUGGUCCGCUACAAGCCAGCCCUCCACAGCUCUCCAUCACCAUUUUGCUACGCAGGUAAAACAGUAUAAAGCAAACAAACAAACAGCUUUCUUCCAGAUCUGCUGCUGCUAUUUUUCUGUCAUUUUCUCAAAAUACCUGAUUUGUCAUUGUCAUCUGCCCUCACCCAUCAGUUCUUUCCACGCUGAAUAAGCAGAGCUGUAAUUUUUAGCAUUAAAAGUAUUAGCUAUUUUGGUUAAGAAAAUAUUGCUCUAAUAUGUGCAGCAAAUGGAAUAAAAAAUGCAUUAAC